AGCGAACGCUGGCGGCGUGCCUAACACAUGCAAGUCGAACGUGAAAAGGGAAACCUGAGUAAAGUGGCGUACGGGUGAGUAACGCGUAGGUAAUCUACCCCAGAAUCUGGAAUAACCUGCCGAAAGGCGGGCUAAUACUGGAUACAGCGAUGGAACUCGUAAGAGAGUUUUUCGGGAAAGGGAGCCCGCAAGGGCCUUCGUUCUGGGAUGAGCCUGCGUCUCAUUAGCUAGUUGGUAAGGUAACGGCUUACCAAGGCGAUGAUGAGUAGCUGGUCUGAGAGGAUGGACAGGCACACUGGAACUGAAACACGGGCCAGACUCCUACGGGAGGCAGCAGUGGGGAAUCUUGCGAAAUGGACGAAAGUCUGACGCAGCCACGCCGCGUGAGGGAAGAAGGCCUUCGGGUUGUAAAGCUCUGUCGGAUGGGACGAAAAUGUUCAUAGUGAAUAGCUAGGAGGACUGACGGUACCAUCAAAGGAAGCACCGGCUAACUCCGUG
This 498-nucleotide ribosomal RNA is filed under the name uncultured bacterium. RNAcentral describes it as "partial 16S ribosomal RNA". It matches the Rfam family "Bacterial small subunit ribosomal RNA", at positions 29 to 507 of the family's 1533-position model. The record is from RNAcentral.